AUUUAACAUCCUAAAAGGGGAUUGCGUUUCGACCGCUGUCUUGGAACGUUGAGUUCCUGUUAAAUA
RNAcentral lists this transfer RNA (66 nucleotides) under Postharmostomum commutatum. RNAcentral describes it as "tRNA-Arg". Lineage: Eukaryota; Metazoa; Platyhelminthes; Trematoda; Diplostomida; Brachylaimidae. The record is from RNAcentral.